UAUUCGAGCAUUUUACUGUCCUUUUAGUUCUAUCUCUCAACAUGGAAAAUACAAUAAGACAGUAAAAACAAAAGUUAGUGAUAGCUAUUACAUAGUGAAAGAAAAUAAGACAUUCACAUAGUGAUAGCUAUUUACUGUCCUUUCUCACCAUAAUCUCAACUCUAUUCCAUUAUUCAAACAUUCUACCAUCCUUUUAGUUCUACCAUAUGUGAAUGUCUUCAU
RNAcentral lists this long non-coding RNA (222 nucleotides) under Malus domestica (apple). RNAcentral describes it as "long non-coding RNA (MDOM_LNC008377)". Lineage: Eukaryota; Viridiplantae; Streptophyta; Magnoliopsida; Rosales; Rosaceae. The record is from RNAcentral.